UACGAAGGGGGCUAGCGUUGCUCGGAAUCACUGGGCGUAAAGCGCACGUAGGCGGCUCGAAAAGUCGGAUGUGAAAGCCCUGGGCUCAACCUAGGAAGUGCAUUCGAAACUGCCGAGCUUGAGUACGGGAGAGGGUUGCGGAAUUCCCGGUGUAGAGGUGAAAUUCGUAGAUAUCGGGAGGAACACCAGUGGCGAAGGCGGCAGCCUGGACCGAUACUGACGCUGAGGUGCGAAAGCGUGGGGAGCAAACAGG
Molecule: ribosomal RNA, 253 nt
Filed under: uncultured bacterium
Lineage: Bacteria
Description: partial 16S ribosomal RNA
Rfam family: Bacterial small subunit ribosomal RNA
Source: RNAcentral